GAGUCGAGGUAUUGUUGAAAGUUUUUAUUUCCCUCUUACUCUCCUCUUCAAGACAACGCUACUUCCAGUUCCCGCCCUUGAUUCUGUACUGAAUUCCUGCAUUUCAAUUAUCAUUGUUGUGUAAAUUCGUUUCUUGAUUUUUACAUUCAAGAUCAAUCGCUAUAAUGCUUGGAAGAUCCUUUCAAGUUAUCGGAAUUCCAUGGCCCGAUCUCAACGACGGAUUGUUCUACAACGAUGUCGUUAAACCCUCCGACUCCGGGAUGUCUUUGAUCGAGUUCUAUUCUCGCAAAUAUAAGAGUUCGGCUCCACUGGAAGGCUGGUUGCAGCGAAUUCAGAACGAACAGAUAACGAUCGAUGGUCAGGUUAUCACAGAUCCCGAAACAAUUCUCAGGAUUGGUUCUGAAGUAGUUUAUCGUCGACUUCCGUGGAAAGAACCGGAUACCCCUUAUUUACUUGAGGUUCUAUAUGAAGACGAUGAAAUGAUUGCAUUAAAUAAACCGUCUGGCUUGCAAGUAUUACCUGGCGGCGUCUUCCAGCAACGGACAGUUUUGACGCAGCUUCAAUGGUGGUCAAGCAAGCAGAGUUCCUCCGUCUCAGAAGAGUUGCACCCUGUUCCUGUUCAUCGCCUAGGAAGGGGGACUUCAGGUAUAUUAUUAUGUGCAAAAACGAGGCUCGCUAGAACACAGUUUGCUGCAUAUUUUGCUGAUGGAACAUCCUGCGUUGGGAGAAACAGAAACAACACUAUGGAGGAAGGUACAAAGAGGAAAAUUUCAAAAAUAUACCGUGCACUUGUGGCUGGAAUAAUUCAUGAUGACGAGGUUAGCAUUGAUCAGCCAAUUGGAAGGAUGCGAUAUCCAGGGGUUGCUCAGGGCCUGUAUGUUGCUACUUCCUCAGGGAAACCAGCUUACAGUAAAGUCAAUGUUCUUGAGAGAGACGAACAAGGCAAACACACUUUGGUCCAGGUAGAAAUUCAGUCUGGACGACCCCACCAAAUCCGCAUCCACCUUUCUUCAAUAGGACAUCCUUUAAUAGGUGAUCCUCUCUAUGUUGCUGGCGGGCAACCAAACUGCCUUCAUUCUGAGUUGGUAGAUCAGAGUUUUGCAGAAGACGGAGGUUACCAAAGGCCUACGAAACCUGUGCCUGGAGAUUGUGGCUACUACUUGCACGCACAUCAGUUGGUCCUUCAUCACCCAAAAACCAGUGAGGUUGUCAAGAUCCUUGCCCCGCUUCCCCCUAUCCUCCGGACACAUGGGGAGUCUGAAGAUGCCGGAAAUAGAGUGGGAUAAAUAAAUCAUUGCAUGGUGGAUGUCAAGGCGAAAACUUUUCAUGUGGGAAUGAAUGAAUGAAAACUCGAUAAGAAUAAGGAUAACCAAUGGCCUGUUCUGAUCAAAUUCAACUUGGGAUUGAAAAAAGGAUGUCAACAUUAUUGGCGUUGUUGACGGCUCCCUUGGCUUGAACAGGGGCGAUCCAUAAAAGUGUUAACUCGCAGUGGGAUUUAUGUAAGAAACUGAAGAAUGUAAUAUUCUGAAGCAAUACUUGCCCUCUUUUUGCCCA
This is an RNA transcript of Cucurbita moschata (crookneck pumpkin), 1554 nucleotides long. It is a transcript of the gene named RNA pseudouridine synthase 5, with no coding region annotated. The transcript has 15 exons. Lineage: Eukaryota; Viridiplantae; Streptophyta; Magnoliopsida; Cucurbitales; Cucurbitaceae. The record is from RefSeq and is a predicted model, not a curated record.